AAAUGGUGAACCACUAGUUUUGUUGUGGACCACCAAACUAACCAGAAAACCUAAAUACAAUCCAUGAUUUUAGAAUACCUAGGGAAGGUCAAAAUGGUGGACCACCAGUUUUGCGGUGGACCACCAAUUUGGACAAAAUUUUUCUGAAUGUAAAUUUUAAAUUCUUUUUACCAGGGAACUUAUAAAUACAAGUUUUAGGUUUAAUUAAGGAUUAUUUGAGAGUUUAUAUCCAGAUCUCAUAUCUUCAAAUCUAUUCUUUUUUUUCUUUUAUACUUUAUCCAUUUUUCCAUCUCAAGAAACUUUUUUUAACCUAGUAUUUUGGGAAAUUAAGAAAAUCUUGUGGAUCUAAGCAUUCCCUCUCUAUUGAAAAUUCAAGAACAAAUUCUUGUAACCUUUGUAAGUAAAUCUUGAAUUUAUUUAUGAAUAAUACAAAGUUGCUUUAUAUUUUUUCUAUGGAAAUAUGUGGCUAAGCUCCCAUAACUAGGGUUAUGGGAACCUUGAUGUGAAAAACUAAUUUGGGUUGUGAAUCUAAUUGAGUUCCAUGAGUAAUUGAUGUUGUAGAAACCUUUCUUCACUUUAAUGACUUUUAUUGGUUGCAAACUUGAAAAGUGAGCUUAAGAACAACACUUGUCCGACAGGAAAGUGCAUGUUGGGAAAAGAAUGGGUUUACAUGGACUCUAAGGACUUUAAUCUUUACAUUAAUGGAAAAUUCCUUAACAGGAAUGGCCUAUAUUAGAUAAUGGUUGAUUAACCAAUGCAUUCUUUAAGUUUGAGAGAAUUAAAGGAAUUAAACGAUAGGCUUCCCAUUAAAGUUGAGAAACGAAUGGGAAAAUAUCGGAUUUAACUACUCUUGCAAUUGAAGUUGUCAGUUGGAAGUCUAAAUUGAUUCAUAACCCUAGAUGUUCAAACAUCUUGGUAACCAUAACUCUGGUUUGUUUAAUAUUAUUGAAUUAUUACAAAAAGAAUCAUUUGAUGGAAUGACUCUGUUAUAAUUAGUUAGAACAUAAUUAACAAUUUAAAAACACCCCAUUUUAUCUUUUCAUAUCAUUUGAUUGACUAUACCUUGUAGCUAUAGUUUUAAAUUAAUUUAAUCGCCACUCACUUAGUUCCUCAUGGAUUCGACCUCGACUCUAAAGUUGGGUAAAUAUAUUGACGACUAUCGGAUUACACUAAAUUGAUGUGUAAGUUCAGAUUUAUCAAGUAUUUCUAUCUCUUACCUUUAAAUUCACUUUGAAGACGAAGAUAUUUUUAAGAGUGUAAGGAUGGGGGGGGAUCCCAAAUUUUGACUCAAUUUAAAAAAAUUUAGAUUAGGAAUAUGUGAGAUAUUCUUGUCCGUGCUAUUUUUUAUUACAUAAUCCAAGUGGGUUUGUUUGUAAAAGCAUGUUGAUUGUGUGAAUUACUAUUUUUGAGACUCUUAGGCUCAUGUGUGUGACUUUUGUACUAUUUGGCUUAAUUUUGAAUUUGUGCUAUUGUUUGGUUGGGAGUCUAUGAUAAUCCUAUUUAGUUGAGCAUGCGCUUUGUGUGAUGUGAGAAUUUUUGUAAAUUCCUUGUAGCAUGUGAUAUCUAGAACUUGCUUGAUGUAUGUUUGAAGCAAAAUAAAGAAUGUAGGUUUAGGAGAUGAUAUAGGCAUUUCUUUCAUAGCCUUGUUUCUGCCUUCUAUUUGACAUACCUAUUGUGCAUUAUCCUAGUUAUCCCCCAUUGAGCCUUUAGCUUAUUUUAUUUAGUAGCCACAUAUGUAACCGAAUCCCCUUCUUUGAUAGAGGUUAAUUUGAUACAAAAAGCACCUAAGUGCUUUAAAAAAAUUGAAAUAGUAAGGAGUUUGAAAAAUUAAAGAAAAAAAAUGUGAAAUUGAUGCCCCAAGGUAAUAGUUAUUGGUGUAUAAUUGAUGUGUGGUGGAUGGUUGUGAUAUAGUUUAUGCUAAAAAUAUUGCCAUGAUUUUGAAAAAAGAGAAAACAAUUAAUUCUUUUGGUAGUAAUCUAUGUGUUCACCGAGUGUUUGUGAAAAUGCUUAAAAGAGAUGGGGCAAAAACAAACGUUAUGGAUGAAUGAAUUAGUGUAAUUUGGUUGUUGAAGAGUGAUUUUAAAUGAAUAAUGUAGAGUAUUAAAGCACUUAGAGAGGUUAGUCACUAUUUUAAAAUAGUCUCUACCCAUCCCUUAGCCUACAUUACAACCCAAAAAAGUCCUAAUUGAUCCUAAGAUUUACAUUCGACUAUUAGUGGAGCAUUACACUAAGGGAAAGCCUAUGGUUCAUUGUGUAUAACUUGUGAAUUUUUGAUGAGAGUGAGCAUAAAUUGAUUCUUGUGCCCAUCAUGAACUAAAUUUCUUAAUUAUGAGUGAUCAUGGGUAAUACUCUUGUUGUGAGGGUCACCUGUUUGAUGAAUGUGGGUGACUUGUAUGAUGUCCUUGAUUGAAUGAUAUGCAUGAGUUUGCCAACUAGGUGAGUAAAUUCUUGAGGUUAGAAUGUUUUGGAGUAGUAUUAAUGAGCUUUCAAUUGUGUAAACAACAUGCUUAGUGUAGUAACUUGCAUUCUGUGUAGUCAUGGUAGCAUUAGCUUUAGUGUCUUGCAUUCAGUAGAGGUGUAGAAUUCAACCUAGUCUAAGCUCUAGUUUUUUAUUCAUCGUAAUUGGUUUAGUGUUGUUUGUGAUUCUAAUUCAUAUGGGGUGAUAAUGUAGAAUUCUUUUAGAGAUGAAUAUUAUGAUAUUUUGAUAUUAAAGAGGCUUGGAAUUCAUGGGAAAGACACAACAAGACAAUGGAUAGAAGGAGGAAGGGCCAACACUUAACAGAAAUUUUGAGGAUAAUUUCCAGAGAGUGCAUAAGUUCAACAUGCGUCGCAUUCUCAACUCCUGUGCAAGACAGGGUCCGAUGGAUGCCUCAUUCCAUAUCUUUAGAGGUUGUGAUGCACGCUCCACUCCACACAUGGGUGUUUGAUGCUAAAUUGACUCCUAGACGUACUUAGCUUACACUUAUGCCAUCUAUACAUGUUGUAUCACGUUUUUACAUAUCUUUUGACAUAUUUUGGAGAUCAAGGGGCUACUACAACUUCAUAAAUAGGUUUUUAUUAAUUUUAUUUAGUUCAUACAUGUUUUUAGUCAUUAAUUACAACUUUGUGAUUACGAUUAUGACUAUGCGUGGCUAAACGCCCUCUUUCCGAGAUUGAAG
This 3158-nucleotide long non-coding RNA is filed under the name Capsicum annuum. RNAcentral describes it as "long non-coding RNA (CANN_LNC010278)". Lineage: Eukaryota; Viridiplantae; Streptophyta; Magnoliopsida; Solanales; Solanaceae. The record is from RNAcentral.